RNAcentral lists this ribosomal RNA (468 nucleotides) under uncultured bacterium. Its description in RNAcentral is "partial 16S ribosomal RNA". It matches the Rfam family "Bacterial small subunit ribosomal RNA", at positions 28 to 507 of the family's 1533-position model. The record is from RNAcentral.
GACGAACGCUGGCGGCGUGCUUAACACAUGCAAGUCGAACGGAAAGGCCCUGCAUUUGUGGGGUGCUCGAGUGGCGAACGGGUGAGUAACACGUGAGUAACCUGCCCUUGACUUUGGGAUAACUUCAGGAAACUGGGGCUAAUACCGGAUAGGAGCUCCUGCUGCAUGGUGGGGGUUGGAAAGUUUCGGCGGUUGGGGAUGGACUCGCGGCUUAUCAGCUUGUUGGUGGGGUAGUGGCUUACCAAGGCUUUGACGGGUAGCCGGCCUGAGAGGGUGACCGGGCACAUUGGGACUGAGAGACGGACCAGACUCGUACGGGAGGCAGCAGUGGGGAAUAUUGCACAAUGGGCGGAAGCCUGAUGCAGCAACGCCGCGUGCGGGAUGACGGCCUUCGGGUUGUAAACCGCUUUCGCCUGUGACGAAGCGUGAGUGACGGUAAUGGGUAAAGAAGCACCGGCUAACUACGUG